RNAcentral lists this ribosomal RNA (490 nucleotides) under uncultured bacterium. RNAcentral's name for it is "partial 16S ribosomal RNA". It matches the Rfam family "Bacterial small subunit ribosomal RNA", at positions 30 to 507 of the family's 1533-position model. The record is from RNAcentral.
AUUGAACGCUGGCGGCAGGCCUAACACAUGCAAGUCGAACGGUAACAGGAAGAAGCUUGCUUCUUUGCUGACGAGUGGCGGACGGGUGAGUCAUGUCUGGGAAACUGCCUGAUGGAGGGGGAUAACUACUGGAAACGGUAGCUAAUACCGCAUAAUGUCGCAAGACCAAAGAGGGGGACCUUCGGGCCUCUUGCCAUCGGCUGUGCCCAGAUGGGAUUAGCUAGUAGGUGGGGUAACGGCUCACCUAGGCGACGAUCCCUAGCUGGUCUGAGAGGAUGACCAGCCACACUGGAACUGAGACACGGUCCAGACUCCUACGGGAGGCAGCAGUGGGGAAUAUUGCACAAUGGGCGAAAGCCUGAUGCAGCUAUGCCGCGUGUAUGAAGAAGGCCUUCGGGUUGUAAAGUACUUUCAGCGGGGAGGAAGGGAGUAAAGUUAAUACCUUCGCUCAUUGACGUUACCCGCAGAAGAAGCACCGGCUAACUCCGUG